GCCAAAGCCGAGGCUCAGAAACGAGAGGAAAAUGAAAGACAGCUGAGAAAGUCUCUACAGACACAGGGUACCAACAGCACCAAGUACAUAUACCAACAGAGGAAACUCCAAGAAUUCCACAGAAAGAAAAAAUCCUUUGAUUUGAAGCAGCAAUCCAAACGUAUUGAAAUAAUUUCAAAGUUACUGCUGGAAGAGGAGUUGUUAAAGAGACGCCAGGCUCUGCUUCCCACUCCAUCCCACUCUGUAAACAUGGCCUCAAGGCAAAGGGGAUCUUCAGAGAAGGAGCGCUCACCUACCCCCUCACCACCAUCCAAGCAACGCACGUUGUUCAACGACAGCAGCUCUUCAUCAGAGCACUCUGACCAGGAGGGGAGCAUGGACCUGGAGACCGAGCAGGGCCUCACUGAGAGCCUUGCACAGCCUGAGUUUACUGGAUUGUGGGACCAGACACGUCAAG
This is a long non-coding RNA of Esox lucius (northern pike), 457 nucleotides long. The record is from Ensembl. Lineage: Eukaryota; Metazoa; Chordata; Actinopteri; Esociformes; Esocidae.